This 460-nucleotide ribosomal RNA is filed under the name uncultured bacterium. Its description in RNAcentral is "partial 16S ribosomal RNA". It matches the Rfam family "Bacterial small subunit ribosomal RNA", at positions 338 to 795 of the family's 1533-position model. The record is from RNAcentral.
CCUACGGGUGGCAGCAGUGAGGAAUAUUGGUCCAUGGGCGCGAGCCUGAACCAGCCAAGUAGCGUGAAGGAUGACUGCCCUACGGGUUGUAAACUUCUUUUAUAAAGGAAUCAAGUGAGGCCGGUGUGCCUUUUUGUAUGUACUUUAUGAAUAAGGAUCGGCUAACUCCGUGCCAGCAGCCGCGGUAAUACGGAGGAUCCGCGCGUUAUCCGGAUUUAUUGGGUUUAAAGGGUGCGUAGGUGGGUGGUUAAGUCAGUUGUGAAAGUUUGCGGCUCAACCGUAAAAUUGCAAUUGAUACUGGCAGUCGUGAGUACAGUAGAGGUAGGCGGAAUUCGUGGUGUAGCGGUGAAAUGCUUAGAUAUCACGAAGAACUCCGAUUGUGAAGGCAGCUUACUAAACUGCCACUGACAUUGAUGCUCGAAAGUGUGGGUAUCAAACAGGAUUAGAUACCCCUGUAGUC